GACGAACGCUGGCGGCGUGCUUAACACAUGCAAGUCGAACGGUGAAGCGCCUUCCUUUUUGGUGGGUGUGGAUGAGUGGCGAACGGGUGAGUAACACGUGAGUAACCUGCCCCCUUCUUCUGGAUAACCGCAUGAAAGUGUGGCUAAUACGGGAUAUUCUGGGUCUGUCGCAUGAUGGGUCUGGGAAAGAUAUUGUUUCGGUGGGGGAUGGGCUCGCGGCCUAUCAGCUUGUUGGUGGGGUGAUGGCCUACCAAGGCGGUGACGGGUAGCCGGCCUGAGAGGGUGGACGGUCACACUGGGACUGAGACACGGCCCAGACUCCUACGGGAGGCAGCAGGGGGGAAUAUUGCACAAUGGGAGCAAGGCUGAUGCAGCGACGCCGCGUGAGGGAUGGAGGCCUGCGGGUUGUGAACCUCUUUCGCCAGUGAAGCAGGCCUGCCUCGUUUGUGGGUGGGUUGACGGUAGCUGGAUAAGAAGCGCCGGCUAACUACGUG
RNAcentral lists this ribosomal RNA (494 nucleotides) under uncultured bacterium. RNAcentral describes it as "partial 16S ribosomal RNA". It matches the Rfam family "Bacterial small subunit ribosomal RNA", at positions 28 to 507 of the family's 1533-position model. The record is from RNAcentral.